Molecule: long non-coding RNA, 751 nt
Organism: Homo sapiens (human)
Lineage: Eukaryota; Metazoa; Chordata; Mammalia; Primates; Hominidae
Source: Ensembl
GGUUCCCGCCCGCGCCUCUCCCUCCACACUUCGCCGCAAGCAGAGGGAGCCGGCUCCGGCCUCAGCUGGCCCAGAGAGGGGCUCCCUCAGUGCAGUGGCGAGCUGAAGGGCUCCUCAAGGGCGGCUGGAGUGGACGCUGAGGCCGAGGAGACGCCAAGAGCAAACGAGGGCUGCUAGUACAUUGUCACCUCUCACUGGUUGAUAUUCUGGAAGCAAGAUCUUGGAAGGCCAAGGACAGGUCAUUUCUUAGGACUGUGCAAAAGAGAAUCAGUCUUUACAGUAAGCUAUUUGAUUCUAGUAGUUCUUUCAUCUCAGUCUUUUGAAAGCAACUUCCCCUCUUUAACCAACACCUGCCAUGGCCUCUUCAUGAGCCGAAGAAGGAAAGACAGGACAGAUUCUUAUGACCUGAAACAGCACCUCAACUCUUACCUUGGAUAUUUCUACAUGAAGAAUCUGCUCUGAAACUAUAGCAAACAAUCACAGAGUGUUUGAGUGUGAGUCCAGACUGGUUCGGGAAGACCAAGAAGCAAUGAUGAUGUCUGUUUUUGUCAAAUGUCUGAAAACUAUUUUUAUUUUUCUAAAACUUUGUUCAGAAGUCUCAAUAUUGUAGUGUAUAGAGAUGUACACUAAUUUAGUGAUAUGAAGAUGAAGGGCUUUAAGCCUGUGUUCCUUGCAGGCAUCUCAGUACCUAGGAACUCCAAAGAACAAACUGUUGCUCGUGCAAAAUUAAAUUUCAUAAAACAGCAAAGAA